AGCUCUGCACAGUGACAGUAUCGGAGCCAGUGAGGUUUAUCUGAGGCGUGAUUAUUGCUAAUUGAAAACUUUUCCCAAUACCCUGCCGUGACCACUGGAAAUAUAGAAGCAUUGGCAAUUGUCGACAGUCUCUACGGAGA
Molecule: small nuclear RNA, 140 nt
Organism: Cebus imitator (Panamanian white-faced capuchin)
Lineage: Eukaryota; Metazoa; Chordata; Mammalia; Primates; Cebidae
Gene: U4
Rfam family: U4 spliceosomal RNA
About the family: U4 small nuclear RNA (U4 snRNA) is a component of the major U2-dependent spliceosome. The structure of U4 snRNA from yeast and human has been reported.
Source: Ensembl